Molecule: ribosomal RNA, 497 nt
Filed under: uncultured bacterium
Lineage: Bacteria
Description: partial 16S ribosomal RNA
Rfam family: Bacterial small subunit ribosomal RNA
Source: RNAcentral
GAUGAACGCUGGCGGCGUGCUUAAUACAUGCAAGUCGAGCGGACAGAUGCGGCUCUUACUUCUCUGAAGUUAGCGGCGGACGGGUAAGUAGCACGUGGAUUACCUACCUAUUCGACUGGGGUCACGUCAGGUAGCCGGAGUUAAGGCCGGAUGAUAUUUUGAACGGCAUGGUUGAAAAGUUAUAGACGGGCUUGCUGUGACUGAUCGAUAGCUUCUUGCUGGAGGAGCGAGUUGGUACGGUAACGGCUUACCGAAGCCGCGAUGCAUAGCCGAACUGGGAGGGUGUUCGGGCACACUGGAGCUGAGACACGGUCCAGACUCUUACGGGAGGCAGCAGCAGGGAAGCUUGCGCAAUGGGCGGAAUCCUGACGGAGCGACGCCGCGUGAGUGCUGAAGGUCUUCGGAUCGUAAAACGCUGUUAUUAUGGAAAAACCUUUGUGUAAGUAACGGUGCAUAUCGUGACGGUACCUAGUCAGAAAGCCACGGCUAACUACGUG